This 91-nucleotide transfer RNA is filed under the name Streptomyces albidoflavus. RNAcentral describes it as "tRNA-Ala". RNAcentral also lists the same sequence under 3 other names. Lineage: Bacteria; Bacillati; Actinomycetota; Actinomycetes; Kitasatosporales; Streptomycetaceae. The record is from RNAcentral.
CGCCCGCAUGGAGGACGACCUCGACCGCAUCGCACGCGGCGAGGCCCAGGCCGUGCCGUGGCUGCGCCGCUUCUACUUCGGUGAGGGCGAC